This 279-nucleotide long non-coding RNA is filed under the name Mytilus galloprovincialis (Mediterranean mussel). The record is from RNAcentral. Lineage: Eukaryota; Metazoa; Mollusca; Bivalvia; Mytilida; Mytilidae.
UUUAUUAUGGCACCCUCAACGGAGUUGGGGUGACAUAUUGUUAUUGUUCGUUUCUUUUUUUUCUUAUUAUUUUUUUUAUUUUUAUUCUUCCACACUUUUUGUCCAUGGCAGUUCUCGGAAUUGGAUGGACCAAUCUUGAUGGAACUAUGCUAUAAUGUUGUCCACCAUGUGAAGUUGUGCACCUGACUUUGGAAUGUGCAAGAUGGCCGCGGUUACCAUGGAAACUAAAAAAACGUAAAAGAAAAUCAAAAUUCUAACUCUUUCGUUAUAAGAGCCAAC